Molecule: ribosomal RNA, 465 nt
Filed under: uncultured bacterium
Lineage: Bacteria
Description: partial 16S ribosomal RNA
Rfam family: Bacterial small subunit ribosomal RNA
Source: RNAcentral
GACGAACGCUGGCGGCGUGCUUAACACAUGCAAGUCGAACGGAAAGGCCCCCUUGUGGGGUACUCGAGUGGCGAACGGGUGAGUAACACGUGAGUAACCUACCCUUGACUUUGGGAUAACUUCAGGAAACUGGGGCUAAUACCGGAUAGGAGCUCCUGCUGCACGGUGGGGGUUGGAAAGUUUCGGCGGUUGGGGAUGGACUCGCGGCUUAUCAGCUUGUUGGUGGGGUAGUGGCUCACCAAGGCUGUGACGGGUAGCCGGCCUGAGAGGGUGACCGGCCACAUUGGGACUGAGAUACGGCCCAGACUCCUACGGGAGGCAGCAGUGGGGAAUAUUGCACAAUGGGCGGAAGCCUGAGGCAGCAACGCCGCGUGCGGGAUGACGGCCUUCGGGUCGUAAACCGCUUUCGCCUGUGACGAAGCGUGAGUGACGGUAAUGGGUAAAGAAGCACCGGCUAACUACGUG